Molecule: ribosomal RNA, 253 nt
Filed under: uncultured bacterium
Lineage: Bacteria
Description: partial 16S ribosomal RNA
Rfam family: Bacterial small subunit ribosomal RNA
Source: RNAcentral
UACGUAGGGUGCAAGCGUUGUCCGGAAUUAUUGGGCGUAAAGAGCGUGUAGGCGGUUUGGUAGGUCCGCUGUGAAAACUCGAGGCUCAACCUCGAGACGCCGGUGGAAACCAUCAGGCUAGAGUCCGGAAGAGGAGAGUGGAAUUCCUGGUGUAGCGGUGAAAUGCGCAGAUAUCAGGAAGAACACCCGUGGCUAAGGCGGCUCUCUAGUACGGUACUGACGCUGAGACGCGAAAGCGUGGGGAGCGAACAGG